CGAACGUUGGCGGCAUGCUUUAUACAUGCAAGUCGUACGAGAAAGCUCCUUCGGGAGUGAGUAGAGUGGCGCACGGGUGAGUAACGCGUAGGUGACCUACCUAUUUGUGGGGGAUAACUCCGGGAAACCGGGGCUAAUACCGCAUACGUAGUACAAUUUUAAAAGUAGUACUAGAAAGAUGACCUCUCCUUGGAAGUUAUUGCAGAUAGAUGGGCUUGCGUACCAUUAGCUUGUUGGUAAGGUAACGGCUUACCAAGGCUAUGAUGGUUAGCUGGUCUGAGAGGAUGAUCAGCCACACUGGAACUGAGACACGGUCCAGACUCCUACGGGAGGCAGCAGUAGGGAAUAUUGCGCAAUGGGCGAAAGCCUGACGCAGCAAUGCCGCGUGAGGGAGGACGGUCUUCGGAUUGUAAACCUCUGUCAGGAGGGAAAAAUAGCUUUAUCGCUAAUAUCGGUAAAGUAUGAUGGUACCUCCAGAGGAAGCACCGGCUAACUCC
Molecule: ribosomal RNA, 497 nt
Filed under: uncultured bacterium
Lineage: Bacteria
Description: bacterial SSU rRNA
Rfam family: Bacterial small subunit ribosomal RNA
Source: RNAcentral